CGGGGCCGUGGUCAUGCGAACCCCAAGGAUUUCUUUAUUCAGACAGCGUGGAGCGGCCUCGUUUAGAAGCCCUGUAACUUCAGCAGUGACGCGAAGUGACCAAGUGGGCAAUUGUGGCUGGAACUGAAUCUGUGGGAAGUGACGUUAGGAAAGAACGCAGAGCCCUGGGAGAGGAAGGAGGGGAUCCGUUCCUGUAACACUUCCCAGGAGGAGGGGGCAUGGGUGCCACCCACCAGGGUCACAUGAGGAAGCUCCAGAGACAGAAAGGAGAUGGAGUGAGAGGGGAAUGUGGGCAAGAGUCUUUACUGUGGUUGCCACAAGAAGGAAUGGACAAAAAAAAGGCAAAAUGAAUUUAUUUAGGAACGGCUGAGGAAUUGCAAUUCAGGACAUUCAAACUGUGGCAAACCAGCGUCAAGUCCAGAGAGCAAAGGAGAGGAAUGUUACUUUAUACAGAAAAAAUGAGGAUGCUUGAAGGGAUCUGUUAGAGAAAAGCAAGCUAUGCAGGUAAGAUGAUUUCUCAUUGGCUGGAAUGUAGCUGUUUCUCAUGAAUGGACUGUGGCUGUUGCUGAUUGGCUAAAAUUUCAGUGAUUCUGAUUGGCUCAUCUGUGGCUGUUUCUGAUUGGCUGGUCUGUGGCUGUAUCUCACUGGCUGGACUGUGGCUGUUUCUCAUUGGCUAAAAUUUUGCUGCUUCUGAUUGGUUCAUCUGUGGCUGCUUCUGAUUGGCUGGGCUGUGGCUGUUUCUCAUUGGCUAAAAUUUUACUGUUUCUGACUGGUUCAUCUGUGGCUGUUUCU
Odocoileus virginianus texanus is the source of this 792-nucleotide non-coding RNA. Lineage: Eukaryota; Metazoa; Chordata; Mammalia; Artiodactyla; Cervidae. The record is from RefSeq and is a predicted model, not a curated record.